This 465-nucleotide ribosomal RNA is filed under the name Vreelandella stevensii. RNAcentral describes it as "partial 16S ribosomal RNA". It matches the Rfam family "Bacterial small subunit ribosomal RNA", at positions 338 to 795 of the family's 1533-position model. Lineage: Bacteria; Pseudomonadati; Pseudomonadota; Gammaproteobacteria; Oceanospirillales; Halomonadaceae. The record is from RNAcentral.
CCUACGGGCGGCAGCAGUGGGGAAUAUUGGACAAUGGGCGAAAGCCUGAUCCAGCCAUGCCGCGUGUGUGAAGAAGGCCUUCGGGUUGUAAAGCACUUUCAGUGGGGAAGAAAGCCUUGGGGCUAAUACCCUCGAGGAAGGACAUCACCCACAGAAGAAGCACCGGCUAACUCCGUGCCAGCAGCCGCGGUAAUACGGAGGGUGCGAGCGUUAAUCGGAAUUACUGGGCGUAAAGCGCGCGUAGGCGGUCUGAUAAGCCGGUUGGGAAAGCCCCGGGCUCAACCUGGGAACGGCAUCCGGAACUGUCAGGCUAGAGUGCAGGAGAGGAAGGUAGAAUUCCCGGUGUAGCGGUGAAAUGCGUAGAGAUCGGGAGGAAUACCAGUGGCGAAGGCGGCCUUCUGGACUGACACUGACGCUGAGGUGCGAAAGCGUGGGUAGCAAACAGGAUUAGAUACCCUAGUAGUC